This 482-nucleotide ribosomal RNA is filed under the name Cryptosporidium parvum. RNAcentral's name for it is "SSU rRNA". It matches the Rfam family "Eukaryotic small subunit ribosomal RNA", at positions 364 to 874 of the family's 1831-position model. The record is from RNAcentral. Lineage: Eukaryota; Apicomplexa; Conoidasida; Eucoccidiorida; Cryptosporidiidae.
GGGGAAUUAGGGUUCGAUUCCGGAGAGGGAGCCUGAGAAACGGCUACCACAUCUAAGGAAGGCAGCAGGCGCGCAAAUUACCCAAUCCUAAUACAGGGAGGUAGUGACAAGAAAUAACAAUACAGGACUUUUUGGUUUUGUAAUUGGAAUGAGUUAAGUAUAAACCCCUUUACAAGUAUCAAUUGGAGGGCAAGUCUGGUGCCAGCAGCCGCGGUAAUUCCAGCUCCAAUAGCGUAUAUUAAAGUUGUUGCAGUUAAAAAGCUCGUAGUUGGAUUUCUGUUAAUAAUUUGUAUAAAAUAUUUUGAUGAAUAUUUAUAUAAUAUUAACAUAAUUCAUAUUACUAUAUAUUUUAGUAUAUGAAAUUUUACUUUGAGAAAAUUAGAGUGCUUAAAGCGGGCAUAUGCCUUGAAUACUCCAGCAUGGAAUAAUAUUAAAGAUUUUUAUCUUUUUUAUUGGUUCUAAGAUAAGAAUAAUGAUUAAUA